CCUACGGGAGGCAGCAGUGGGGAAUUUUGGACAAUGGGCGCAAGCCUGAUCCAGCAAUGCCGCGUGCAGGAUGAAGGCCUUCGGGUUGUAAACUGCUUUUGUACGGAACGAAACGGCGAGCUCUAAUAAAGUUCGCUAAUGACGGUACCGUAAGAAUAAGCACCGGCUAACUACGUGCCAGCAGCCGCGGUAAUACGUAGGGUGCAAGCGUUAAUCGGAAUUACUGGGCGUAAAGCGUGCGCAGGCGGUGAUGUAAGACAGAUGUGAAAUCCCCGGGCUCAACCUGGGACCUGCAUUUGUGACUGCAUCGCUAGAGUACGGUAGAGGGGGAUGGAAUUCCGCGUGUAGCAGUGAAAUGCGUAGAUAUGCGGAGGAACACCGAUGGCGAAGGCAAUCCCCCUGGACCUGUACUGACGCUCAUGCACGAAGCGUGGGGAGCAAACAGGAUUAGAUACCCUGGUAGUCCACGCCCUAAACGAUGUCAACUGGUUGUUGGGUCUUCACUGACUCAGUAACGAAGCUAACGCGUGAAGUUGACCGCCUGGGGAGUACGGCCGCAAGGUUGAAACUCAAAUGAAUUGACGGNUGAGACGNGCGACGGACGACGACGAGGGGAGGAGG
RNAcentral lists this ribosomal RNA (621 nucleotides) under uncultured bacterium. RNAcentral's name for it is "bacterial SSU rRNA". It matches the Rfam family "Bacterial small subunit ribosomal RNA", at positions 338 to 959 of the family's 1533-position model. The record is from RNAcentral.